CAGAUAAUUUACUCACCACCAUGUCAUCCAAAAUGUUGAUGUCUUUCUUUGUUCAGUCCAGAAGAAAUUAUGUUUUUUGAAGAAAACAUUGCAGAAUUUUUCUAAUUUUAAUGGACUUUAAUAGAACCCAACAUUUAAUACUUAACUCAACACGUAACAGUUUUUUUCAACGGAGUUUCAAAGGACUAUAAACAAUCCCAAACGAGGCAUAAGGGUCUUAUCUAGCGAAACGAUUGUCAUUUUUGACAAGAAAAAUAAAAUAUAUAUACUUUUAAACCACAACUUUUCGUCGUGUAGAUCCGGUCGUGAUGCGCCAGCUGACCCCACUACGUCACCGCAAUACGUCAUCACGUCAAGAGGUCACAGAGGACGAGCGCGAAACUCCGCCCCAGUGUUUACAUGUGUUGAGAAAGAGGACCGUUCCUACGUUGUUGUAUGUCAACUGAUACUAAUUAAUGUCUUUGUGUCAGUUUAUUGUUUAAAAUGGUCCGCAAAUGUGCGUUUUAUAUAUGUAACACGUGACCUCCCUACGUCACUACGCAUUUACGUUAGAUACCGCUGGACCGGACCUUGACGAAAAGUUGUGGUUUAAAAGUAUAUAUAUUUUAUUUUUCUUGUCAAAAAUGACAAUCGUUUCGCUAGAUAAGACCCUUAUGCCUCGUUUGGGAUUGUUUAUAGUCCUUUGAAACUCCGUUGAAAAAAACUGUUACGUGUUGAGUUAAGUAUUAAAUGUUGGGUUCUAUUAAAGUCCAUUAAAAUUAGAAAAAUUCUGCAAUGUUUUCUUCAAAAAACAUAAUUUCUUCUGGACUGAACAAAGAAAGACAUCAACAUUUUGGAUGACAUGGUGGUGAGUAAAUUAUCUGGAUUUUUCUUUUAAGAAAAUGGACUAAUCCUUUAACCCCCUGGGGUCCAAAAACGCGGGGCCGCGUUUUGACGCAUUUUUUCCUGUUUCCUGUGACAUCCACUUAAAAUACUCCGUCAUUCAUAAUCAUACACAUACAUGUAAUACAUCAUUCGAAACUGUGAAGUCUCUACUUUAAUGUGAGUGCCUUCAUAAUAACAACAAAACUGUGUGCUUUUGGCAAAUAAAGAAAAUAAACAGGGAGUGCAUUUCGACAUCUCUGUCUCCUUGACCAUUUUCCUCAAACACGUUUCAAACAUGAACUGAUAACUCCGCCAAUACUUGUCACACGAACAUGAUACAUAUGUCUAAAGAAAGCCUGAAAUGUCUACUUUUACAUUAUAUAAUUAAAAUCUGAAGAACUCAUUGUCUGUUUGUGUAAUCAACAUGUAAGUAAAGAGAGGUACAGUUUUUCUGGCUCGACCUCAUUAGCGCUAAUGUAAUCCCACCUACCUUGUGCGCGCCAUUUAUAUGGAAAUUACCUGAUGCGGGCUAUGCAAACAAGAUCAACGCCCCCAAACAAUGCUUUAAGAAGCAGCGAGUUUUGAUAGUUUCAUUCACUUAUCAACGCGCUGGGAAGAUGACACGCUUUACAGGUGAGGAAGCUAUACAGAUGCUCCUGGACAGCGAGGAAGAGUUCAUUGUUUCUUCAGAAGAAGAGCAGGACUCCGACGAUGAACGUUUGUAUUUUGAAGAGCGACUUGAUCCAGCUGAGGAUAUAAUUUCUGAAGACAUCACUCUCCUCUUCAGCGGGCAUUUGCAGAAAUGCGGCGGACAUUCAUACUGGUAACGUGGCUUCAUCGUCAUUUACUCGCACGGGGGCAUGCAGAAACGAACCCGAAAUUCAUAAAGUGUAAGUUACAUUUACCGGCUUUUCUCUUCUCAAUAUUAGUAUUACUGAUGUGUUGCUUGAUUUUUUUUAAUGCAUAAAACUACGCAUAAACAUAGAACUUAUGCAUUCACAAUAUUUGUA
Non-coding RNA from Misgurnus anguillicaudatus (oriental weatherfish), 1874 nucleotides. The record is from RefSeq and is a predicted model, not a curated record. NCBI's taxonomy places the organism in Eukaryota, Metazoa, Chordata, Actinopteri, Cypriniformes, Cobitidae.